This 287-nucleotide ribosomal RNA is filed under the name uncultured prokaryote. RNAcentral's name for it is "partial 16S ribosomal RNA". It matches the Rfam family "Bacterial small subunit ribosomal RNA", at positions 524 to 815 of the family's 1533-position model. The record is from RNAcentral.
UACGUAGGGGGCAAGCGUUAUCCGGAUUUACUGGGUGUAAAGGGAGCGUAGACGGCAGGGCAAGUCCGAUGUGAAAACCCGGGGCUCAACCGCGGGAUUGCAUUGGAAACUGCUCGGCUCGAGUACUGGAGGGGUAAGCGGAAUUCCUAGUGUAGCGGUGAAAUGCGUAGAUAUUAGGAGGAACACCGGCGGCGAAGGCGGCUUACUGGACAGUAACUGACGUUGAGGCUCGAAAGCGUGGGGAGCAAACAGGAUUAGAUACCCCGGUAGUCCCUGAGCGGGGCUGG